GACGAAGGAUCCAAGCGUUAUCCGGAUUCAUUGGGUUUAAAGGGUGCGUAGGCGGGUUUGUAAGUCAGUGGUGAAAGCCGGCAGCUCAACUGUCGAAUUGCCAUUGAUACUGCGGACCUAGAAUAUAGAUGACGUUGGCGGAAUAUGACAUGUAGCGGUGAAAUGCAUAGAUAUUGGGAAGAACACCGGUGGCGAAGGCGGCGACCUGGUCCGAUACUGACGCUGAGGCGCGAAAGCGUGGGGAGCAAACAGG
RNAcentral lists this ribosomal RNA (253 nucleotides) under uncultured bacterium. Its description in RNAcentral is "partial 16S ribosomal RNA". It matches the Rfam family "Bacterial small subunit ribosomal RNA", at positions 524 to 776 of the family's 1533-position model. The record is from RNAcentral.